GUCCACGCUGUAAACGAUGACGACUAGGUGUGGGGGGUUCAGUCCCUUCCGUGCCGCAGCUAACGCAUUAAGUCGUCCGCCUGGGGAGUACGGCCGCAAGGUUGAAACUCAAAGGAAUUGACGGGGGCCAGCACAAGCGGUGGAGCAUGUGGUUCAAUUCGAUGCAGAGCGAAGAACCUUACCUGGGCUUGACAUGCAGGAAGUAGAAACCGGAAACGGCGACGACCUGUUAAGUCAGGAACCUGCACAGGUGGUGCAUGGCUGUCGU
This 268-nucleotide ribosomal RNA is filed under the name uncultured bacterium. RNAcentral's name for it is "partial 16S ribosomal RNA". It matches the Rfam family "Bacterial small subunit ribosomal RNA", at positions 793 to 1055 of the family's 1533-position model. The record is from RNAcentral.